CCAAAGUUCAACAUUUUUUUCCUCGGUGAACACUGGAUGAAGCCCUGGCUGGGCCACUGGCUGACACCCUGGGGAGCACCUUCCCUCCCCUGUCCUAGGUUGUGUCCUCUAAGCCAGUGGUUGGCUACCCUGAGACCACCAGCCACAGAGUUUUCAACUCUGCACCAUAGACUCCAAAAGAAGUCUUGGAAGUGGAACCAACCUGAGAGAGUGUACUCCCUACUUCUAAACAACUUCCUAAAUUAUAAUUUUCCAGAAUCUUGCCCAGCAUCAUGUUUUCUGAACAGUGGGUGACCUGGUGCAGCCAGCAACCUGAGGUUUGGUUACACGAGUGAGUUGACAGAGGUUUCACCUUGCACUCCCUGACUUCCAGCAACGUGAGUAAACCGGAGAAGGCUCACUGGGCACCCCCUGGGUCAAAUCCUGGAGUGACCUGAAUGGUUGCCUCACCCGUACUCUGAUCCUGAGCUUGUUCUCUCCUCGACCUGAAUAGGACAGAAGCAGAAAACCAAGA
This 514-nucleotide long non-coding RNA is filed under the name Fukomys damarensis (Damara mole-rat). RNAcentral describes it as "lncRNA (ENSFDAG00000026943.1)". The record is from RNAcentral. Lineage: Eukaryota; Metazoa; Chordata; Mammalia; Rodentia; Bathyergidae.